AAAGGCUUUGGGCAAAAAUGUAUCUGUGAGCUUAGAUCAUAGAGCUUAAAAAACUCCUUGAUAGACCCCAUCACUGUGAAGCCUUGGGAGUCUGGAGUGUAAGACAAAGGACAGACGGCGUCAAAAGAUAAACAGGGGGUUCCUUUGUAUGGGUUCCAUAUGUCAUCAAUGUGGUCUUCCCCCAUUUGGCAAUCUGCCUUCUGCUCCUUUGUCACACCUGGACCCCUGGUUCCCCGUCAGCCUCCUCAGGUUCGGUGGGGCUUUCCAAUGGCCUUCAUAGCAUCUGCUCACAGCCAUCCAGGGGUACAGGCUGGACGUCUCGGGAUUAUGUCCAGAGGGUCUGUCUGGCACAGACUGUUACAAUCUGCCUGUCCACAUCUUUCCUUCUCUCUCCAUGUCUGCUGGACUUGUUUACACCUCCCAAGGUCUUUGGCUAAGCAGAGCAAGAUUGUCUUUAUGUUCUCCCAGCGAUACACAGAAUGGUGGAAGCCAAGUAAGGGACGUGGAUACAUUAAUGGAGAGGACCUGGAGAGUAUAUAGAAACAGGGAUGGUAAGGAUAGGAAGAAAGUGCGGAGAACAACAGCAGCUGCACAAGAGCAGGACCUGGAAGGGUCCGGGGAGAGUUCUACCCCCAGUGGUUUAAUUCCUCUACACAGUCUUCCAGCCAUUCUGCCCCAAACCCAGCAUUGCCUGGGGUUAUUGUGGUCAAAGUGCAGGACCCGGCAUUUGGUCUUGUUGAACCUCAUCCCAUUGGCUUCAGCCCAGCUAUAUACCGCCUGUCCACAUCCCUCUGUAGGGCCUCACUACCCUCAGGCUGAUGGACACCUCCAGCCAGCUUGGUGUCAUCUGCAAACUCACUGAGGGUGCACUCAAUACCCUCAUCCAGGUCAUCAAUAAAGAUACUGAAGAAGAGAGGCCAAAGCACCAAACCCUGAGGAACACCACUCGUGAACGCUCGCCAGCUCGAUUUAAUUCCAUUCACCACCACUCUCUGGGUGGUGAAUCAAACAGGAGAGAGGAGAACAGGUCAGUGGGGCACCUGUUUAAGGCUGCUCUGACUCAGCCUCGGGGGCAGCCACCCAAGGGUGACUCAGAAGGGAUCCACUGUUAACUCCGUGGUAUUCACAGCACGGACUGAGCUGAUAUUUCACUGAAGGAAACAUGAACGGACCGUCCUUUUGCUGGGCACACACUCUGAGC
RNAcentral lists this long non-coding RNA (1201 nucleotides) under Gallus gallus (chicken). RNAcentral describes it as "lncRNA (ENSGALG00010029974.1)". Lineage: Eukaryota; Metazoa; Chordata; Aves; Galliformes; Phasianidae. The record is from RNAcentral.